Long non-coding RNA from Poecilia reticulata (guppy), 360 nucleotides. RefSeq lists it as uncharacterized. Lineage: Eukaryota; Metazoa; Chordata; Actinopteri; Cyprinodontiformes; Poeciliidae. The record is from RefSeq and is a predicted model, not a curated record.
AGCCAUGAAUAGAUAUUCCAAAACCUACACGAGCUCACCCAUCUCCUUCAGGGCCGUGGGCACAGCUCCCUUCUUUUAAAGUGACUAUGUUUGAACAGGAGCACUUCCAGGGCAAGUGUCUGGAGUUCAUGACCGCGGCAUGGACAGCAUCCGCUCCAUCCGAGUGGAGCGUGAGUCACACAGCCGUUUCAUCACAGUAGCCGCAUGAUGAUUUUCGAGAGGGAGUACUUCAUCCGUCCCUGCAGGCUGGUUCAUGCCCGAGGUCGACUCCACGCAUGUGCAGAGUGGAGAGUAAAUCUUUCUUUUACAGCCAAGUACUCUCCAGAUUCAACAAAAGAGCCUGCUCAUCGAUAGAUCUGG